GCUGCUGUCACUCACUACAGAAUUGCUUAGGCCUGUGAAACCUGGCUCCCAGUGAAGAUUCUCCUGCCCCUCAGUCCCCAGAACUUUUCCAGCUGGAGAGCAAUUCUCGGGAAUUUCCCAUUCCCGAGAAAGAGUCAGGCUGUAGCUGCUGAAAGAAAUGCAGAUAUAGAGAAUUCAUCUAACUGAAACUGAACAGAAUGAGAAGUUGGAGAGAAUAAGUUUGGAAUUUAAGUUGGGAUUUGAGGCUUUACUUUCUUUGGAUUCAUACUGCUCAACAAAGACAGCAGGAAUUUUUCAGACUUUAGCUUUUAUGGACUUUAAGGUCUUGUUUCCCCUUUACAUCUAUUGAUCCAAACCAAUAAAACCG
RNAcentral lists this long non-coding RNA (367 nucleotides) under Homo sapiens (human). Its description in RNAcentral is "HSALNT0136334". The record is from RNAcentral. Lineage: Eukaryota; Metazoa; Chordata; Mammalia; Primates; Hominidae.